RNAcentral lists this transfer RNA (73 nucleotides) under Mus musculus (house mouse). Its description in RNAcentral is "tRNA-Ser". The record is from RNAcentral. Lineage: Eukaryota; Metazoa; Chordata; Mammalia; Rodentia; Muridae.
GAAGGGGUGGCUCAGUGGUUAAGAGCACUGACUGCUCUUCCAGAGUUCCUGAGUUCAAUUCCCAGCAACCACA